Molecule: ribosomal RNA, 253 nt
Filed under: uncultured bacterium
Lineage: Bacteria
Description: partial 16S ribosomal RNA
Rfam family: Bacterial small subunit ribosomal RNA
Source: RNAcentral
UACAGGGGGGGCGAGCGUUGUUCGGAAUUACUGGGCGUAAAGGGCUCGUAGGCGGCCAACUAAGUCAAACGUGAAAUCCCUCGGCUUAACCGGGGAACUGCGUCUGAUACUGGAUGGCUUGAGUUUGGGAGAGGGAUGCGGAAUUCCAGGUGUAGCGGUGAAAUGCGUAGAUAUCAAGAGGAACACCUGAGGUGAAGACGGGUUGCUGGGCUGACACUGACGCUGAGGCGCGAAAGCCAGGGGAGCAAACGGG